GACGAACGCUGGCGGCGUGCUUAACACAUGCAAGUCGAACGGAAAGGCCCUGCUUUUGUGGGGUGCUCGAGUGGCGAACGGGUGAGUAACACGUGAGUAACCUGCCCUUGACUUUGGGAUAACUUCAGGAAACUGGGGCUAAUACCGGAUAGGAGCUCCUGCUGCAUGGUGGGGGUUGGAAAGUUUCGGCGGUUGGGGAUGGACUCGCGGCUUAUCAGCUUGUUGGUGGGGUAGUGGCUUACCAAGGCUUUGACGGGUAGCCGGCCUGAGAGGGUGACCGGGCACAGUGGGACUGAGAUACGGCCCAGACUCCUACGGGAGGCAGCAGUGGGGAAUAUUGCACAAUGGGCGGAAGCCUGAUGCAGCAACGCCGCGUGCGGGAUGACGGCCUUCGGGUUGUAAACCGCUUUCGCCUGUGACGAAGCGUGAGUGACGGUAAUGGGUAGAGAAGCACCGGCUAACUACGUG
Molecule: ribosomal RNA, 468 nt
Filed under: uncultured bacterium
Lineage: Bacteria
Description: partial 16S ribosomal RNA
Rfam family: Bacterial small subunit ribosomal RNA
Source: RNAcentral